ACCCGCUGAACUUAAGCAUAUCAAUAAGCGGAGGAAAAGAAACCAACAGGGAUUGCCCUAGUAACGGCGAGUGAAGCGGCAACAGCUCAAAUUUGAAAUCUGGCUCUCGGGCCCGAGUUGUAAUUUGUAGAGGAUACUUUUGAUGCGGUGCCUUCCGAGUUCCCUGGAACGGGACGCCAUAGAGGGUGAGAGCCCCGUCUGGUUGGAUGCCAAAUCUCUGUAAAGUUCCUUCAACGAGUCGAGUAGUUUGGGAAUGCUGCUCUAAAUGGGAGGUAUAUGUCUUCUAAAGCUAAAUACCGGCCAGAGACCGAUAGCGCACAAGUAGAGUGAUCGAAAGAUGAAAAGCACUUUGAAAAGAGAGUUAAAAAGUACGUGAAAUUGUUGAAAGGGAAGCGUUUAUGACCAGACUUGGGCUUGGUUAAUCAUCUGGGGUUCUCCCCAGUGCACUUUUCCAGUCCAGGCCAGCAUCAGUUUUCCCCGGGGGAUAAAGGCGGCGGGAAUGUGGCUCUCUUCGGGGAGUGUUAUAGCCCACCGUGUAAUACCCUGGGGGGGACUGAGGUUCGCGCAUCUGCAAGGAUGCUGGCGUAAUGGUCAU
This 595-nucleotide ribosomal RNA is filed under the name uncultured fungus. Its description in RNAcentral is "eukaryotic LSU rRNA". It matches the Rfam family "Eukaryotic large subunit ribosomal RNA", at positions 23 to 641 of the family's 3401-position model. The record is from RNAcentral. Lineage: Eukaryota; Fungi.